This 137-nucleotide transfer RNA is filed under the name Belnapia mucosa. RNAcentral describes it as "tRNA-Arg". Lineage: Bacteria; Pseudomonadati; Pseudomonadota; Alphaproteobacteria; Acetobacterales; Roseomonadaceae. The record is from RNAcentral.
GGGUCAGCAAUCGGUGACGGAUGGCCUGAUCCUCCAAGGCCCAAUCCUUUGCAAACCAAGCAUUUGCCCGCCAAGCCGCUGCCGGAUGUGUCCUCCGAAGGCAAAGGUCGUACGUUCGAAUCGUAUCGGGUCCGCCA